AAAUGAAGCUGGAAAUAAGGGCUGAAGCAUCUGUCACCCCACUGUGGCCAGGGUCAAUCUGACUGAUUUGGCUGGCUAGUGGGUGUUCCCUUCCGCCCUACCCACUGAAGUGUGAUUGUCCCAAAGCUGUAUGCUUGGUAGUCAGGAAUGUCCAUUCCAUACUGAAGGAGCGUAUCAUUCUUCAGUAAAGGCUACUGUUACAGUUGUAACCGUACAACUGCAGAGUCACAAAUCAUUCUAUGUUUUUAUAGAAUGUGUCCUACUACCUUUCUUGUAAGAGCUAUUUAGAGGCUACAUUACAGAGGUGUUAUAUGUCCUGAUAA
RNAcentral lists this small nuclear RNA (323 nucleotides) under Salvator merianae (Argentine black and white tegu). RNAcentral describes it as "7SK RNA (ENSSMRG00000021390.1)". It matches the Rfam family "7SK RNA". Rfam says of the family: 7SK was discovered as an abundant small nuclear RNA in the mid-70s but a possible function has only recently been suggested. Two independent studies have found that 7SK RNA binds the CDK9/cyclin T complex (known as elongation factor P-TEFb). Lineage: Eukaryota; Metazoa; Chordata; Lepidosauria; Squamata; Teiidae. The record is from RNAcentral.